UACGAAGGGGGCUAGCGUUGCUCGGAAUCACUGGGCGUAAAGCGCACGUAGGUGGGUCGUUAAGUUGAGGGUGAAAUCCCAGGGCUCAACCCUGGAACUGCCUUCAAUACUGGCGACCUUCGAGUCCGGGAGAGGUGAGUGGAACUGCGAGUGUAGAGGUGAAAUUCGUAGAUAUUCGCAAGAACACCAGUGGCGAAGGCGGCUCACUGGCCCGGUACUGACGCUGAGGUGCGAAAGCGUGGGGAGCAAACAGG
RNAcentral lists this ribosomal RNA (254 nucleotides) under uncultured bacterium. RNAcentral describes it as "partial 16S ribosomal RNA". It matches the Rfam family "Bacterial small subunit ribosomal RNA", at positions 524 to 776 of the family's 1533-position model. The record is from RNAcentral.